This 253-nucleotide ribosomal RNA is filed under the name uncultured bacterium. RNAcentral's name for it is "partial 16S ribosomal RNA". It matches the Rfam family "Bacterial small subunit ribosomal RNA", at positions 524 to 776 of the family's 1533-position model. The record is from RNAcentral.
UACGGAGGGUGCAAACGUUGCUCGGAAUCACUGGGCGUAAAGCGCACGUAGGCGGACUCUUAAGUCGGUGGUGAAAUCCUGGAGCUCAACUCCAGAACUGCCUUCGAUACUGAGAGUCUCGAGUCCGGGAGAGGUGAGUGGAACUGCGAGUGUAGAGGUGAAAUUCGUAGAUAUUCGCAAGAACACCAGUGGCGAAGGCGGCUCACUGGCCCGGUACUGACGCUGAGGUGCGAAAGCGUGGGGAGCAAACAGG